Molecule: ribosomal RNA, 229 nt
Filed under: uncultured bacterium
Lineage: Bacteria
Description: partial 16S ribosomal RNA
Rfam family: Bacterial small subunit ribosomal RNA
Source: RNAcentral
UGCGUAGGCGGGCUAAUAAGUCAGUGGUGAAAUCUCUCGGCUCAACCGGGAAACUGCCAUUGAUACUGUUAGUCUUGAGUUCGGUUGAGGUAGGCGGAAUGUGUAAUGUAGCGGUGAAAUGCUUAGAUAUUACACAGAACACCAAUUGCGUAGGCAGCUUACUAGACCGACACUGACGCUGAGGCACGAAGGCGUGGGGAGCGAACAGGAUUAGAUACCCUGGUAGUCC